AUACUUGUAAAGGAACUCGGCAAAUUGUCUUCAUAAGUUAGACGAUAUGAAGAACCAUUUUAAGGCCCUCCCCCACGGGGAGGGCACUAAAAUGGUGUCACAGAAUCGGAGGCCCCGACUGUUUACCUAAAACACAGCUUUCUGCUACGAAGAAUAUUCUGUGUAUAGAAAGCGAAUUUUGCCCAAUGCCAUUAAUAUAAGGUUGAUAAGCGCAUAGCGUAUUUAUUAAUUGAAGUUCUGGUCAAUGGCGGUCUUAUCUAUGAGGAUCCUAAGGUAGCAAAAUUAAUUGUCCAUUAAAUGUGGUCCUGACUGAAUAAAGUAACGAUGGUCUCACUGUCUCUACAAGUAUCUCAGUGAAAUUGAAUUAGCCGUGCAGAUGCGGUUUAACUUCG
RNAcentral lists this ribosomal RNA (392 nucleotides) under Tulasnella sp. RNAcentral describes it as "partial large subunit ribosomal RNA". It matches the Rfam family "Bacterial large subunit ribosomal RNA", at positions 1698 to 2074 of the family's 2925-position model. Lineage: Eukaryota; Fungi; Basidiomycota; Agaricomycetes; Cantharellales; Tulasnellaceae. The record is from RNAcentral.